This 87-nucleotide transfer RNA is filed under the name Acidimicrobiaceae bacterium. Its description in RNAcentral is "tRNA-Leu". It matches the Rfam family "tRNA". From Rfam's summary of the family: Transfer RNA (tRNA) molecules are approximately 80 nucleotides in length. Their secondary structure includes four short double-helical elements and three loops (D, anti-codon, and T loops). The record is from RNAcentral. Lineage: Bacteria; Bacillati; Actinomycetota; Acidimicrobiia; Acidimicrobiales; Acidimicrobiaceae.
GCCCGGGUGGCGGAAUCGGCAGACGCGGGGGAUUCAAAAUCCCUUUCCCUCCGGGGAGUGCGGGUUCAAGUCCCGCCCCGGGCACUA